RNAcentral lists this ribosomal RNA (253 nucleotides) under uncultured bacterium. RNAcentral's name for it is "partial 16S ribosomal RNA". It matches the Rfam family "Bacterial small subunit ribosomal RNA", at positions 524 to 776 of the family's 1533-position model. The record is from RNAcentral.
UACAGAGGGUGCAAGCGUUGUCCGGAAUCACUGGGCGUAAAGGGCGCGUAGGCGGCCUGAUAAGCAGGGGGUGAAAUCCUGUGGCUCAACCACAGGGCUGCCUUCUGAACUGUCAGGCUGGAGCACGGUAGAGGCAGAUGGAAUUCCCGGUGUAGCGGUGGAAUGCGUAGAGAUCGGGAAGAACACCAGUGGCGAAGGCGGUCUGCUGGGCCGUUGCUGACGCUGAGGCGCGACAGCGUGGGGAGCAAACGGG